This 273-nucleotide ribosomal RNA is filed under the name uncultured bacterium. Its description in RNAcentral is "partial 16S ribosomal RNA". It matches the Rfam family "Bacterial small subunit ribosomal RNA", at positions 524 to 796 of the family's 1533-position model. The record is from RNAcentral.
GACGGAGGGUGCAAGCGUUGUUCGGAAUCACUGGGCGUAAAGCGCGUGUAGGCGGUUCGAUAAGUCGGACGUGAAAGCCCGGGGCUUAACCCCGGAAGGGCAUCCGAAACUGUCGAGCGUGAGUACGGGAGAGGGAAGCGGAAGUCCUGGUGGAGAGGUGAAAUUCGUAGCUAUCAGGAGGAACACCGGGGGCGAAGGCGGCGUCAUGGACCGAUACUGACGCUGAGACGCGAAAGCUUGGUGAGCCAACAGGAUUAGAUACCCCGGUAGUCC